Vicia faba (fava bean) is the source of this 291-nucleotide non-coding RNA. Lineage: Eukaryota; Viridiplantae; Streptophyta; Magnoliopsida; Fabales; Fabaceae. The record is from the annotation of a GenBank genome assembly.
AUGUCUCAAAUAACCCAUGUCUUGUCAGAUCAAUACACACUCUUUCGUACGCAUUUGCUAUUAGGUGGCCCAUCUCCGGAAAGCGCGUUCACUUUGAAUAUGGUGCUUUAUCGCUACGACAAGGAACAAGAGUAUCUUGAAUUGAGUCAAAUUUUUCUUUGGAAGUGUAUAACCUCGUGUAUAACCUCAUGUGAUCAUCUUAUGAUUUACCAAGCAAUCCGGCUACAGCCCGAUAACCGCAAUUGCCGACACCCCCAAUAUUCACAAUCCGCUCAAUGUAUUUAUGCAUAA